Molecule: transfer RNA, 70 nt
Filed under: Pseudomonas fluorescens HK44
Lineage: Bacteria; Pseudomonadati; Pseudomonadota; Gammaproteobacteria; Pseudomonadales; Pseudomonadaceae
Rfam family: tRNA
About the family: Transfer RNA (tRNA) molecules are approximately 80 nucleotides in length. Their secondary structure includes four short double-helical elements and three loops (D, anti-codon, and T loops).
Source: Rfam by way of RNAcentral
GGUCUGUAGCUCAGUUGGUUAGAGCGCACCCUGAUAAGGGUGGUCGGCAGUUCGAAUCUGCCAGAGACCA